UGAACGCUGGCGGCAGGCCUAACACAUGCAAGUCGAGCGGAUGAGAAGAGCUUGCUCUUCGAUUCAGCGGCGGACGGGUGAGUAAUGCCUAGGAAUCUGCCUGGUAGUGGGGGACAACGUUUCGAAAGGAACGCUAAUACCGCAUACGUCCUACGGGAGAAAGCAGGGGACCUUCGGGCCUUGCGCUAUCAGAUGAGCCUAGGUCGGAUUAGCUAGUUGGUGGGGUAAUGGCUCACCAAGGCGACGAUCCGUAACUGGUCUGAGAGGAUGAUCAGUCACACUGGAACUGAGACACGGUCCAGACUCCUACGGGAGGCAGCAGUGGGGAAUAUUGGACAAUGGGCGAAAGCCUGAUCCAGCCAUGCCGCGUGUGUGAAGAAGGUCUUCGGAUUGUAAAGCACUUUAAGUUGGGAGGAAGGGCAGUAAGCGAAUACCUUGCUGUUUUGACGUUACCGACAGAAUAAGCACCGGCUAACUCUGUGCCAGCMGCCGCGGUAAU
This 499-nucleotide ribosomal RNA is filed under the name Pseudomonas oryzihabitans. RNAcentral's name for it is "bacterial SSU rRNA". It matches the Rfam family "Bacterial small subunit ribosomal RNA", at positions 30 to 524 of the family's 1533-position model. The record is from RNAcentral. Lineage: Bacteria; Pseudomonadati; Pseudomonadota; Gammaproteobacteria; Pseudomonadales; Pseudomonadaceae.